UUGCAUUACAUGAUGAUUUUCAUGUAUGUAAUUUGUUUUUAAAACAGAGACGAAGUGAAUUUUGUUUUUAAAAUUGAUUUGAGGAAAGGUGUUUGGGAAUUUAAAAAUUUUCUUUGAGAAAGGAGAUGAUUGAAAAUCUGUUUUUUGGGAAGAUUAGAAUCUUUCAAAGUGCCUUAACCAAAAUUCAUCUUGAAUUAAAUUCAUAUUAAUUAUCGAUUUUACUCCACUUUUUAUUAUUUUGACGAUAAUUUAAUAUACGAAUUCUUAACACAUAUAUUCAUCAAAAUUUUGAAAUCAAUUUUGAU
RNAcentral lists this long non-coding RNA (305 nucleotides) under Ananas comosus (pineapple). RNAcentral's name for it is "long non-coding RNA (ACOM_LNC044116)". Lineage: Eukaryota; Viridiplantae; Streptophyta; Magnoliopsida; Poales; Bromeliaceae. The record is from RNAcentral.